RNAcentral lists this ribosomal RNA (497 nucleotides) under uncultured bacterium. RNAcentral describes it as "partial 16S ribosomal RNA". It matches the Rfam family "Bacterial small subunit ribosomal RNA", at positions 28 to 507 of the family's 1533-position model. The record is from RNAcentral.
GAUGAACGCUGGCGGCGUGCCUAAUACAUGCAAGUCGAGCGAACAGACGAGGAGCUUGCUCCUCUGACGUUAGCGGCGGACGUGUGAGUAACACGUGGAUAACCUACCUAUAAGACUGGGAUAACUUCGGGAAACCGGAGCUAAUACCGGAUAAUAUAUUGAACCGCAUGGUUCAAUAGUGAAAGACGGUUUUGCUGUCACUUAUAGAUGGAUCCGCGCCGCAUUAGCUAGUUGGUAAGGUAACGGCUUACCAAGGCAACGAUGCGUAGCCGACCUGAGAGGGGGAUCGGCCACACUGGAACUGAGACACGGUCCAGACUCCUACGGGAGGCAGCAGUAGGGAAUCUUACGCAGUGGGCGAAAGCCUGACGGAGCAACGCCGCGUGAGUGAUGAAGGUCUUCGGAUCGUAAAACUCUGUUAUUAGGGAAGAACAAAUGUGUAAGUAACUAUGGACGUCUUGACGGUACCUAAUAAGAAAGCCACGGCUAACUACGUG